This 97-nucleotide non-coding RNA is filed under the name unclassified sequences. RNAcentral describes it as "SAM-I-IV sequence". It matches the Rfam family "SAM-I/IV (S-adenosyl methionine) riboswitch aptamer". Rfam says of the family: It is found upstream of a number of genes which code for proteins involved in methionine or cysteine biosynthesis. It has been found mostly in the order Actinomycetales. The record is from Rfam by way of RNAcentral.
AUAGAGCAUUAAGAGCAGGGUUAAAUCCCUCUCCAACCUGCCAACUCCGGCAAGGUGGAAAAAAUGAUGCGGUUAACCAACAAACAUAGGAGUACAA